GACGAACGCUGGCGGCGUGCUUAACACAUGCAAGUCGAACGGAAAGGCCCUGCUUGCAGGGUACUCGAGUGGCGAACGGGUGAGUAACACGUGGGUGAUCUGCCCUGCACUUCGGGAUAAGCCUGGGAAACUGGGUCUAAUACCGGAUAGGAGCCAUUUUUAGUGUGAUGGUUGGAAAGUUUUUUCGGUGUAGGAUGAGCUCGCGGCCUAUCAGCUUGUUGGUGGGGUAAUGGCCUACCAAGGCGGCGACGGGUAGCCGGCCUGAGAGGGUGGACGGCCACAUUGGGACUGAGAUACGGCCCAGACUCCUACGGGAGGCAGCAGUGGGGAAUAUUGCACAAUGGGCGCAAGCCUGAUGCAGCGACGCCGCGUGGGGAUGACGGCCUUCGGGUUGUAAACUCCGUUCGCUAGGGACGAAGCUUUUUGUGACGGUACCUAGAUAAGAAGCACCGGCUAACUACGUG
Molecule: ribosomal RNA, 464 nt
Filed under: uncultured bacterium
Lineage: Bacteria
Description: partial 16S ribosomal RNA
Rfam family: Bacterial small subunit ribosomal RNA
Source: RNAcentral